AUUGAACGCUGGCGGCAGGCUUAACACAUGCAAGUCGAGCGGGGUGAUGGUGCUUGCACUAUCACUUAGCGGCGGACGGGUGAGUAAUGCUUAGGAAUCUGCCUAUUAGUGGGGGACAACAUCUCGAAAGGGAUGCUAAUACCGCAUACGUCCUACGGGAGAAAGCAGGGGAUCACUUGUGACCUUGCGCUAAUAGAUGAGCCUAAGUCGGAUUAGCUAGUUGGUGGGGUAAAGGCCUACAAAGGCGACGAUCUGUAGCGGGUCUGAGAGGAUGAUCCGCCACACUGGGACUGAGACACGGUCCAGACUCCUACGGGAGGCAGCAGUGGGGAAUAUUGGACAAUGGGCGAAAGCCUGAUCCAGCCAUGCCGCGUGUGUGAAGAAGGCCUUUUGGUUGUAAAGCACUUUAAGCGAGGAGGAGGCUACUAGUACUAAUACUACUGGAUAGUGGACGUUACUCGCAGAAUAAGCACCGGCUAACUCUGUGCCAGCAGCCGCCGUAA
This 503-nucleotide ribosomal RNA is filed under the name uncultured bacterium. RNAcentral describes it as "partial 16S ribosomal RNA". It matches the Rfam family "Bacterial small subunit ribosomal RNA", at positions 30 to 523 of the family's 1533-position model. The record is from RNAcentral.